CCAAUAGCGUAUAUUAAAGUUGUUGCAGUUAAAAAGCUCGUAGUUGAAUUUUAGACCUGACCGGGCGGUCCGUCUCUGGCGAGUACUGUCUGUUGUCGGGUCUAUCCUUCUGGUGAGCCGGUAUGCCCUUUAUUGGGUGUGUCGGGGAACCAGGACCAUUACCUUGAAAAAAUUAGAGUGUUUAAAGCGGGCUUUUGCUUGAAUAGAUUAGCAUGGAAUAAUAGAAUAGGACGUUGGUUCUAUUUUGUUGGUCUAGGACCACCGUAAUGAUUAAUAGGGAUAGUUGGGGGCAUUAGUAUUCAAUUGUCAGAGGUGAAAUUCUUGGAUUUAUUGAAGACUAACUACUGCGAAAGCAUUUGCCAAGGAUGUUUUCAUUAAUCAAGAACGAAAGUUAGGGGAUCGAAGACGAUCAGAUACCGUCGUAGUCUUAACCAUAAACUAUGCCGACUAGGAAUCGGGCGACGUUAUUCUCAUGACUCGCUCGGCGCCUUAUG
RNAcentral lists this ribosomal RNA (494 nucleotides) under uncultured Glomeromycotina. Its description in RNAcentral is "partial small subunit ribosomal RNA". It matches the Rfam family "Eukaryotic small subunit ribosomal RNA", at positions 591 to 1092 of the family's 1831-position model. The record is from RNAcentral. Lineage: Eukaryota; Fungi; Glomeromycota.